Molecule: ribosomal RNA, 248 nt
Filed under: uncultured Parabacteroides sp.
Lineage: Bacteria; Pseudomonadati; Bacteroidota; Bacteroidia; Bacteroidales; Tannerellaceae
Description: partial 16S ribosomal RNA
Rfam family: Bacterial small subunit ribosomal RNA
Source: RNAcentral
UACGUAGGGGGCAAGCGUUAUCCGGAAUUACUGGGUGUAAAGGGAGAGUAGGCGGCAAGGUAAGCGAUAUGUGAAAGCCUCAGGCUUAACCUAAGGAUUGCAUAACGAACUAUCUAGCUAGAGUACAGGAGAGGAAAGCGGAAUUCCUAGUGUAGCGGUGAAAUGCGUAGAUAUUAGGAAGAACACCAGUGGCGAAGGCGGCUUUCUGGACUGAAACUGACGCUGAGGCUCGAAAGCGUGGGGAGCGA